CUGAUCUCCUUAGUUACCUUCAGGGUUGAUUGGCACAAGGAGUGUGAAGCAAAACUGGCUCCUUGCCCUUCUGCAAGAUUACACCUCACCAACAAAACCCUGCAGACUUAGAACAUGACAGAUGAGCAGCAUGGAAUGUGGAAAAGUUAGCAGCUGCUGCUGAGGGGAAAGUACCAGCUUUGCAUGUUCAGAAAGCAUAUCAAGGAUGAAAGCUGUUCCUCCCUCCAGAAGCCACAG
This is a long non-coding RNA of Vidua chalybeata, 237 nucleotides long. RefSeq lists it as uncharacterized. Lineage: Eukaryota; Metazoa; Chordata; Aves; Passeriformes; Viduidae. The record is from RefSeq and is a predicted model, not a curated record. The transcript has 3 exons.